Molecule: ribosomal RNA, 588 nt
Filed under: Staphylococcus aureus
Lineage: Bacteria; Bacillati; Bacillota; Bacilli; Caryophanales; Staphylococcaceae
Description: partial 23S ribosomal RNA
Rfam family: Bacterial large subunit ribosomal RNA
Source: RNAcentral
GCUUAGAAGCAGCCAUCAUUUAAAGAGUGCGUAAUAGCUCACUAGUCGAGUGACACUGCGCCGAAAAUGUACCGGGGCUAAACAUAUUACCGAAGCUGUGGAUUGUCCUUUGGACAAUGGUAGGAGAGCGUUCUAAGGGCGUUGAAGCAUGAUCGCAAGGACAUGUGGAGCGCUUAGAAGUGAGAAUGCCGGUGUGAGUAGCGAAAGACGGGUGAGAAUCCCGUCCACCGAUUGACUAAGGUUUCCAGAGGAAGGCUCGUCCGCUCUGGGUUAGUCGGGUCCUAAGCUGAGGCCGACAGGCGUAGGCGAUGGAUAACAGGUUGAUAUUCCUGUACCACCUAUAAUCGUUUUAAUCGAUGGGGGGACGCAGUAGGAUAGGCGAAGCGUGCGAUUGGAUUGCACGUCUAAGCAGUAAGGCUGAGUAUUAGGCAAAUCCGGUACUCGUUAAGGCUGAGCUGUGAUGGGGAGAAGACAUUGUGUCUUCGAGUCGUUGAUUUCACACUGCCGAGAAAAGCCUCUAGAUAGAAAAUAGGUGCCCGUACCGCAAACCGACACAGGUAGUCAAGAUGAGAAUUCUAAGGUGAGCGA